GUAUUAUGAUGAAAUCCAUGCGUGUCAGCUGACUCUGUGAACCCCUGAUGUUGUGAUUCUCUGGUUGGCGUUCUGUUGACCCGAGUUGUCUCUACAUUAGGGAGCCAGAGACAUGAUCAUACUUUCAUGGUUCUGAUUAC
This is a small nucleolar RNA of Girardinichthys multiradiatus, 140 nucleotides long. RefSeq annotates it as small nucleolar RNA SNORD10. The transcript has a single exon. The record is from RefSeq and is a predicted model, not a curated record. Lineage: Eukaryota; Metazoa; Chordata; Actinopteri; Cyprinodontiformes; Goodeidae.